CUUUCCCUGCUGUGUGCGUGGGUCACGGUGAGCUUGAGCCAACACCGUUGACAAGGGAGCCUGGGCUCCGUUGCGUGGCGUGCAGGCCUCCUGGUCGUACAGGAGGAAGCACAUAAGCCGCGGGAGGGCACCCACCUGCGAGAGCGGGUUCAACGUCCUCCGAGAUUCACGGCACGGCGGGGAUUUU
Molecule: non-coding RNA, 187 nt
Filed under: Candidatus Fermentithermobacillaceae bacterium
Lineage: Bacteria; Bacillati; Bacillota; Candidatus Fermentithermobacillia; Candidatus Fermentithermobacillales; Candidatus Fermentithermobacillaceae
Description: 6S RNA
Rfam family: 6S / SsrS RNA
About the family: E. coli 6S RNA was the first non coding RNA to be sequenced, but its function was unknown until recently. It consists of 184 nucleotides that fold into an extended hairpin structure with a large single-stranded internal bulge. The 6S RNA specifically associates with RNA polymerase holoenzyme containing the sigma70 specificity factor.
Source: RNAcentral